CAUCUUUAAUUCUUGGACCUUUCUCAAGUAAGAUACAUGAUAAUUUCUAUGAGUUUUUGAAAUUAAUUAGCAUAUUUUAGAUUUUUAAGUUCGAUUUGAAAUUUUUAAAAUUCUGCUUUAACAUUUUUCCUAGGUGAGUAUCUUUAAUUCUUGGACCAUUCUCAAAUAAGCAAUAUGGUAAUUUCUAUUAAUUUUUUAAGUUAAUGAGCUUAUGUAGAUUUGAACCAGAACCGAAACUGAACUAGACCGGGUCCCAAUCAUGACUGGAACCAUUUCAGAACCAGACAGGAAUCGGCCUGGAACCAUGAAUGAAUGGGAACUGGUUCAAACCGGCUACUCAAGGGUGGUUCUGGUUCAACCUAGCCAAGGGCCAGGAACCAAACUGACCCUUGGCUAAGUCUAUCUCACCCCCUUGAACUUUGAACUGGGCCAGAACCAAUUGUCCGAACUGGUUGAAACUGCUUUUUUAUUUAUAAAAUAAAAAAAAAAGAAGAAAAAAAACUUUUGGGCAAGGAAGAGUUAGACUGAAAUUGCAGAUUUUUUUUUUCUUAUCCCACCAUUCUAGGAUAAGCAAACGAUUCUAGCUAAGAUCAUUUAGCAUGCUUGUGAAAUACUUCACACAAUACCUCUUAUAAUCAAAUUAAUCGGGCAUGGAAAUUUAGUUUCUUGCUUAAUUUUGCUUCAAUAAUACAAUACUCUCAACUCAAAAAAGGAAAAAAAUUUCCACUUAGGUAUUCACACAUGGCAAAUCUGACCUAAUUAUCCCACCAAUUAGAAGGCACAAAAUAAUCCCAUCAAAUAGACAAACAUAAUUUCCCAAAUUAGGAAAAAUACCAUAAACUGCAAGAUAAUAAUUUCAAUUUCUCUCGUUUCUUCAUUUUCUAUAGAACCAAACAGCAAAUAAUUUUGAAGCAGUAAAUGUAAAUACCCUAAACAAGAGAGAAAGAGUGGCUAACCAUAACCGGCGCAGUGAACCGUG
Molecule: unclassified non-coding RNA, 979 nt
Filed under: Hevea brasiliensis (rubber tree)
Lineage: Eukaryota; Viridiplantae; Streptophyta; Magnoliopsida; Malpighiales; Euphorbiaceae
Source: RNAcentral